GAUGAACGCUGGCGGCGUGCCUAAUACAUGCCAGUCGAGCGAACAGACGAGGAGCUUGCUCCUCUGACGUUAGCGGCGGACGGGUGAGUAACACGUGGAUAACCUACCUAUAAGACUGGGAUAACUUCGGGAAACCGGAGCUAAUACCGGAUAAUGUAUUGAACCGCAUGGUUCAAUAGUGAAAGACGGUUUUGCUGUCACUUAUAGAUGGAUCCGCGCCGCAUUAGCUAGUUGGUAAGGUAACGGCUUACCAAGGCAACGAUGCGUAGCCGACCUGAGAGGGUGAUCGGCCACACUGGAACUGAGACACGGUCCAGACUCCUACGGGAGGCAGCAGUAGGGAAUCUUCCGCAAUGGGCGAAAGCCUGACGGAGCAACGCCGCGUGAGUGAUGAAGGUCUUCGGAUCGUAAAACUCUGUUAUUAGGGAAGAACAAAUGUGUAAGUAACUAUGCACGUCUUGACGGUACCUAAUCAGAAAGCCACGGCUAACUACGUG
This 497-nucleotide ribosomal RNA is filed under the name uncultured bacterium. RNAcentral describes it as "partial 16S ribosomal RNA". It matches the Rfam family "Bacterial small subunit ribosomal RNA", at positions 28 to 507 of the family's 1533-position model. The record is from RNAcentral.